CUUCUCGUAGCUUAGUGGUAGAGCAAUGGCGCAUAAACUAGGGACCUGGGUUCGAUUCCCGGCGAGAGCG
This 70-nucleotide transfer RNA is filed under the name Agrilus planipennis (emerald ash borer). It matches the Rfam family "tRNA". Rfam says of the family: Transfer RNA (tRNA) molecules are approximately 80 nucleotides in length. Their secondary structure includes four short double-helical elements and three loops (D, anti-codon, and T loops). The record is from Rfam by way of RNAcentral. Lineage: Eukaryota; Metazoa; Arthropoda; Insecta; Coleoptera; Buprestidae.